GAUGAACGCUGGCGGCGUGCCUAAUACAUGCAAGUCGAACGAGGUGCUUGAGUAGCAAUACAAGAGUAUCCUAGUGGCGAACGGGUGAGUAACGCGUUGGUGACCUACCCCAAAGUGUGGGAUAACAGUCCGAAAGGAUUGCUAAUACCGCAUGUGGUUAUCAGGUUUAGAAACUGAUAACUAAAGGAGCAAUUCGCUUUGGGAGGGACCUGCGUCCCAUCAGCUAGUUGGUGAGGUAACGGCUCACCAAGGCUACGACGGGUAGGGGACCUGAGAGGGUGGCCCCCCACAAUGGAACUGAAACACGGUCCAUACACCUACGGGUGGCAGCAGUAGGGAAUAUUGCACAAUGGGCGAAAGCCUGAUGCAGCAACGCCGCGUGUGCGAUGAAGGCCUUCGGGUCGUAAAGCACUUUUCUGAGAGAUGAGCAAGGACGAGUAUCUCAGGAAUAAGUCUCGGCUAACUAACGUGCCAGCAGCCGCGGUAAAGUGUG
RNAcentral lists this ribosomal RNA (493 nucleotides) under uncultured bacterium. RNAcentral describes it as "bacterial SSU rRNA". It matches the Rfam family "Bacterial small subunit ribosomal RNA", at positions 28 to 529 of the family's 1533-position model. The record is from RNAcentral.